AUGAGGUCCCAGCUGGGAUGGGCAGAAGUUCUGUCACUCUGCCACAGCACAACUGCACACCAUCCUUCAUGCCCCAGGGCUGUGAUAUUUAUUUCCAAUGACAGUUCAGCCUAUACUGCUUAUUUUUGUUUAAUAGUUGCAGUGGAGGGAUCGGUGAUACUGUGGCCACAAAAGCAACUGGUCAUCUGGAAGUAUGAGGUCUAGCGGUGUUUUAAAAGUGUGAAAACAUCUGAAAAAAAAAUAGAGGUGGAAACAUAUUUUUUCUCAGGUAUCCAAACAUGUGCCACAUUUUCUUUGGAAACAGUUCAGUAUGAAACAUUUUAUAGAGGAAACUAUUUUCUCCUUUU
Molecule: long non-coding RNA, 347 nt
Filed under: Anser brachyrhynchus (Pink-footed goose)
Lineage: Eukaryota; Metazoa; Chordata; Aves; Anseriformes; Anatidae
Description: lncRNA (ENSABRG00000012530.1)
Source: RNAcentral